RNAcentral lists this ribosomal RNA (433 nucleotides) under uncultured bacterium. Its description in RNAcentral is "partial 16S ribosomal RNA". It matches the Rfam family "Bacterial small subunit ribosomal RNA", at positions 29 to 507 of the family's 1533-position model. The record is from RNAcentral.
AACGAACGCUGGCGGCAUGCCUAACACAUGCAAGUCGAACGAGACCUUCGGGUCUAGUGGCGCACGGGUGCGUAACGCGUGGGAACCUGCCCUUAGGUUCGGAAUAACUCCCCGAAAGGGGUGCUAAUACCGGAUAAUGUCUUCGGACCAAAGAUUUAUCGCCCUUGGAUGGGCCCGCGUUGGAUUAGGUGGUUGGUAUGGUAAAAGCCUACCAAGGCGACGAUCCAUAGCUGGUCUGAGAGGAGGAUCAGCCACACUGGGACUGAGACACGGCCCAGACUCCUACGCGAGGCAGCAGUGGGUAAUAUUGGACAGUCGGCGGAAGCCUGAUCCAGCUAGGCCGCGUGAGUGAUGAAGGCCUUAGGGUUGUAAAGCUCUUUUAACCGGGCUGAUAAUGACAGUACCGGGAGAAUAAGCCCCGGCUAACUCCGUG